UCUCCGUAGGUGAACCUGCGGAGGGAUCAUUACAGAGUUCAUGCCCUACCAGGUGGAUCUCCCACCCUAUGUAAUUAUCACUUUGUUGCUUUAGCUGGCCGUUAGGCUCCGGCCCGACUGAGGGCCCCGGCUGGUAAGCGCCCGCCAGAGUACCCAAAACCCGGAAUAUAACUGUCGUCUGUGUACUAUAUAAUAGUUAAAACUUUCAACAACGGAUCUCUUGGUUCUG
This 229-nucleotide unclassified non-coding RNA is filed under the name plant metagenome. Its description in RNAcentral is "partial contains small subunit ribosomal RNA, internal transcribed spacer 1, and 5.8S ribosomal RNA". The record is from RNAcentral.